CCCGGCGACCGGCGCACGGGUGAGUAACGCGUAUGCAACUUACCUAUCAGAGGGGGAUAACCCGGCGAAAGUCGGACUAAUACCGCAUGAAGCAGGGGCCCCGCAUGGGGAUAUUUGCUAAAGAUUCAUCGCUGAUAGAUAGGCAUGCGUUCCAUUAGGCAGUUGGCGGGGUAACGGCCCACCAAACCGACGAUGGAUAGGGGUUCUGAGAGGAAGGUCCCCCACAUUGGUACUGAGACACGGACCAAACUCCUACGGAAGGCAGCAG
RNAcentral lists this ribosomal RNA (268 nucleotides) under uncultured bacterium. Its description in RNAcentral is "partial 16S ribosomal RNA". It matches the Rfam family "Bacterial small subunit ribosomal RNA", at positions 87 to 354 of the family's 1533-position model. The record is from RNAcentral.